GAGAAAGAUCUGCGGGGACUCCUGCACCCCCCGCCCGUAUCUGGUGUCUCAUUAAGCAGAGAGACCUCCAGUCUUCAGAUUUCAAAUGCUGGCGAGUGCGCCGUGUCCCUGGUACAGGUAAUAGUUGCUGAACGAUGUUUCAUAAGUGCAAUCCAGGGACACAGACUCGCGCUCCAGAUCCGAUGCCGAGGGCUGGGUCUGAGUGACGGAAUCUUCCAUGCUGGAGCCUGGCACAAGGAGAGAGAAAGGAGAGCUGUGCCCCUGGCGGUGAAUUUCUGAGUGGAGCUGUGGUGCAGAUUCCCAGAAACCAGUGAGAGGCUUUCAUCUGCAAGAAGCCAGCUGCAGCCGGGCCCCCUUCCCCGCCACCUCUCCCCACCUGCACCGCCUUUUUCCUGCCUCUGGCUUCCUGACUUCGUAUGCAGGGGUCGGUUUCCCAGGGCAGGAGACAGCUGGAGGGUUUUUGUGCAGGGAUCUGUGUUCAUCACAGCACCGUGAGUCUCUACUGAGAGCGCAGAAGUACCCGGCGGAGUCCCUCGGCUCCAAGCCCGUGAUCCUCAGACUGAUGGAGCUUUGGGAUUUCUUGAAGUCCGCAGAGAAUCUCGGCCCGGCCUCGUUCUUC
Non-coding RNA from Pelodiscus sinensis (Chinese soft-shelled turtle), 619 nucleotides. Lineage: Eukaryota; Metazoa; Chordata; Testudines; Trionychidae. The record is from RefSeq and is a predicted model, not a curated record.